AUUGAACGCUGGCGGUAGGCCUAACACAUGCAAGUCGAGCGAGCGGCGGACGGGAGAGUAAUGUUUGGGGAUCUGCCCGAUAGAGGGGGCUAACUACUGGAAACGGUCGCUAAUACCGCAUACUAUCGGAUGAACCCAUAUGGGAUUAGCUAGUAGGUGGGGUAAAGGCUCACCUAGGCGACGAUCUCUAGCUGGUCUGAGAGGAUGAUCAGCCACACUGGAACGGAGACACGGCCCAGACUCCGACGGGAGGCAGCAGUGGGGAAUAUUGCACAAUGGGGGCAAGCCUGAUGCAGACAUGCAGCGUGUAUGAAGAAGGCCUUAGAGUUGUAAAGUACGUUCAGCGGGGAGGCGUUACCCGCAGAAGAAGCACCGGCUAACUCCGUGCCAGCAGCCGCGGUAAUAC
This 406-nucleotide ribosomal RNA is filed under the name uncultured bacterium. Its description in RNAcentral is "partial 16S ribosomal RNA". It matches the Rfam family "Bacterial small subunit ribosomal RNA", at positions 30 to 526 of the family's 1533-position model. The record is from RNAcentral.